UUGAUGUUGUUCUAAUUAAGGAUGCCAU
This 28-nucleotide non-coding RNA is filed under the name Mus musculus (house mouse). Lineage: Eukaryota; Metazoa; Chordata; Mammalia; Rodentia; Muridae. The record is from RNAcentral.